Molecule: non-coding RNA, 73 nt
Organism: Salmo salar (Atlantic salmon)
Lineage: Eukaryota; Metazoa; Chordata; Actinopteri; Salmoniformes; Salmonidae
Source: Rfam
GGUCGUGUGGCUCAGUUGGUAGAGCAUGACACUUGUAAUGCCAGGGUUGUGGAUUCGAUUGCCAUGGGGACCA